Molecule: long non-coding RNA, 206 nt
Organism: Chenopodium quinoa (quinoa)
Lineage: Eukaryota; Viridiplantae; Streptophyta; Magnoliopsida; Caryophyllales; Amaranthaceae
Exons: 3
Source: RefSeq, a predicted model, not a curated record
CUACUUUGACUCGGCUCGUACCUGGCCACCAAGGAAGUUGCUAGUGAAUAACCUAUUGAAUAGUGUUAUGAAGAAGUUGAAUUGUCGUUCGGUUGCGGGUCCCACGUGGAAAUAUGCGAAGUGUGCGCAACAAGACAACGGCGUUGACUGUGCCCUCUACGUGAUGAGGUUUAUGAAUGACAUAGUCAAUAGGUGCACUGAAGCCC